Long non-coding RNA from Pseudophryne corroboree (corroboree frog), 199 nucleotides. RefSeq lists it as uncharacterized. The record is from RefSeq and is a predicted model, not a curated record. NCBI's taxonomy places the organism in Eukaryota, Metazoa, Chordata, Amphibia, Anura, Myobatrachidae. The transcript has 2 exons.
GUAGGCGAAGGCUUUGCAUCCAAAGACUCUAGUCUGGGCCCAUAACCUGUUGGCAUGUGGUGAUGAAAUACCAUAGGUGUGCAGUGGGAGGUCUCAUACAUAAAAGAUCAUCACGGGAGUUACCUUGCAAUCAGACAGGAUGAGUCUUGUAAAGAACUCACAUGGGAAAGGAAGAAGAAGCAAGUACAUGAAUAUAUAG